GGCUCACACUUCUGAGUACAGAGCAUUGUGGAUUGCUCUGACUAUAACCCCGGCUCCGGGGCGCAUUCAUCUCGGAAAUGACAACCUCUUUCGCCUGCAAGACUUCUCAGUCUGGGUCCAAACCCGAGCCGCGUAAACAAGGACCGGGACCCAGGAGCUUUGGAGCCCUCAGCGUCGACUGCAGAGCCCCCGGAGCCAGGUCUUUGCCCCGUUAAGAAGUGUAAAUCGACGCAAAAACCUUCCUGGUGCACACAAAGAGACCAAUCUUGCGCAUGUGUCUAAUCCCUCGGCUGUUGGAGACACUGGAGCAAUCAGGCUAGGCACCCGACGCCGACGUCUUCUCCCUAAAACGCCUCGAGCAGCGAAGUGGAGUGAUUUAUGCGCGCGUUUUAGUUAACUAUGACUAAAAGUGCCUCGUGGCUUUUCAGCUUCUAGAGGAAAUGGAGACCAUAGCUGUUACCAGCGGAUCCAAACGGUUUAUUGAAAUGUUCAACUCUUAAAAACAAAACAAUGAAGAACUUUGUCCCCUUCAUGCAGGAACGUGUGACAUUUAAAUGUAAACUAAUCUCUAUUGUAAAGAAAAUUUAAUCUAAACAUUAUAUCCUUUUGAUAAGAUUCAAGGGGAGAAAGGGAGUAUUAAAUGUUGGCUGAAGACAAUGUAUGGAUUUUUGCUAUAGGGAAGGAUAUUUAAUACCUAGUAAGUAAUGAUGUUUCUCAUUAAGAAAAAAAUGCAUAAAAACUGAACAUUUUCUGAGUAACUUAUUUAUAAAGAGUCGCCAUUUAAUAAAAUUUCGAAGGCUCCUGUUUAUUUCUGCUUAUUUUAGUAAAAAGUAUUUUUUCCUUGUUUUCAGUAAAUAUUGACUAGCCCUACUAGGAACACAAUAAUAUUAAUAGAGAAAGGAAACUAUCUGAUUGAGGGGAGAAAAAUAUGAAAACCUGAAGGAUAAAGAUGUCCCUUACCCUACCAAAUGGGCACCCCAAGAGUGAUAUUUGUCCCAUUAUUAGCAAGAUUCUCCUUCUAGAGCCCAUAUAACCCAAUGGAAAGACUAGCUUGUCUUAACAGCACACCAUUCCUAUCCAUUCAUUUAUGCAGCAAACAUUUACUUGGAGGAUCAGCCUUGCAGAGGGCCAGAUGCUGGGACAGAUACGUCCAAUCAUAUGGCAAGAUCCCUUAGGCUGACACUCUGGAAUGAGUUCAAACUCUGAUCUUUCCAGAAAACUUGCAAAAAAAAAAAAAAUCCCUAAUAAUUGGGUGUGAUUCCAUUUCUCCAAACCCCAUGCAACAUGUUGUCUAGUCCACUCAUUUGUUCCUAUUUCAUAUACUACAUAGCUAUUGUUUCUUUCUUUAUGUGAUGACUGUUUCAGAUUUGAAGGUACUUUAAAUACAUUAUUUCAUUCAGUCCUCUUUGCAACCCCAUUUAACAGAUGAUGAAACUGAGGCUAAGAGAUGUUCAGUUUCACAGCCACCAUUUCGAUAUAGGUUUUGUGUCCACAAUAAUUCCCUGACCACUAACCGCCACCACCGUUUAUGUAAUAAUUCGUUUCCACAAAUUAUUGUAAACUGUUCGAAGUCAGGGGUUAAUUUUGUCUCACCAACAAUCUGAGGGGACACCCAAGGAUAAGGUAAAGUUGGUAAUUCUAGCUUUUAAAGAUUAUGGAAUGAUUAUGCCUUUGUUCAUAUGCUAAUGUACACCUUUGUAACUCUUAAUAUGAUGGAUAAAUAUUAUCCUGUAUUUACUUUUGAUUCAUAGAUUGCUGGUAUAGCAAUUUGUGUUUGUGUGUGUGUAUAACAAAAUAACCCCUCUUUCUUUUUAUACUGUUCACUGCUCGAAAACACUAGCUUACAUAAUCUAAAUUUGGCAUAUAAAUUUUCCUAGAUCUAGAUUUGUUUGAUUGUAUCUUCAUAACAUUAUUUAUUUUAGUUACCUAAGCCUCAAACCAGUAAGGUGACUUAGACAUGUGAGUACUUCUCUUUUUUUCAAGAAUAAUUCACCAGGUGCUGUGUAUAUCCUACUAAUCCCAUCAAACAAAAUAAACACAAUGUCUGUCUCAUUAA
RNAcentral lists this long non-coding RNA (2056 nucleotides) under Sus scrofa (pig). RNAcentral describes it as "lncRNA (ENSSSCG00015036919.1)". Lineage: Eukaryota; Metazoa; Chordata; Mammalia; Artiodactyla; Suidae. The record is from RNAcentral.